UUAAGCAUAUCAAUAAGCGGAGGAAAAGAAACUAACCAGGAUUCCCUUAGUAACUGCGAGUGAAGUGGGAAGAGCUCAAAUUUGUAAUCUGGCGGCCGUUUGGCAGUCCGAGUUGUAAUCUAAAGAAGUGCUACCUGCGCUGGACCGUGUACAAGUCUUCUGGAAUGGAGCAUCAUAGAGGGUGAGAAUCCCGUCUUUGACAUGGACUCCCAGUGCUCAAUAGGUGCGCUCUCRAAGAGUCGAGUUGUUUGGGAAUGCAGCUCAAAAYGGGUGGUAAAUGCCAUCUAAAGCUAAAUAUUGGCGAGAGACCGAUAGCGAACAAGUACCGUGAGGGAAAGAUGAAAAGAACUUUGGAAAGAGAGUUAAACAGUACGUGAAAUUGCUGAAAGGGAAACGCUUGAAGUCAGUCRCGUCGGUCGGAAAUCAACCUUGCUCUUGCUGGGUGUACUUUCCGUCCGACGGGUCAGCAUCAAUUUUGGCUGCUGGAUAAAGUUCUUUGGGAAUGUGGCAUCCUUUGGAUGUGUUAUAGCCCUUGGGACAUAUGCAGCUGCUGGGAUUGAGGAACUCAGCACGCCUCUCUGGCUGGGCCUUGUCCACACGAACGUGCUUAGGAUGCUGGCGUAAUGGCUUUAAUCGACCCGUCUUGAAACACGGACCAAGGAGUCUAACAUGCCUGCGAGUG
RNAcentral lists this ribosomal RNA (682 nucleotides) under Pseudosperma curreyi. RNAcentral's name for it is "eukaryotic LSU rRNA". It matches the Rfam family "Eukaryotic large subunit ribosomal RNA", at positions 34 to 692 of the family's 3401-position model. The record is from RNAcentral. RNAcentral also lists the same sequence under 1 other name. Lineage: Eukaryota; Fungi; Basidiomycota; Agaricomycetes; Agaricales; Inocybaceae.